RNAcentral lists this microRNA precursor (257 nucleotides) under Paramuricea clavata. The record is from RNAcentral. Lineage: Eukaryota; Metazoa; Cnidaria; Anthozoa; Malacalcyonacea; Plexauridae.
GGUUCGAGCAGAAAUAAAAGUAUUUACCCCUUCAGUUGACUUCAUGACUUGCAAUAAGGCUUGAAUUUCAUCGCUGGACUGGGCUUUCUUUCAUUGGUUUUGUGAACAAGCUUUAAUCAAAAUAUGGAUAUAUUGCGAGUAAAGCUUGUUCACAAAACCGAACAACGAAAGGCCAGUCCAACGAUGAAAUUCAAGCCUAAUUGCCUGAAUAUCGAUGAAAUUCAAGUCAUGCAAAGACUUUUAUUUCUGCUAGAACC